AUUGAACGCUGGCGGCAGGCCUAACACAUGCCAGUCGAGCGGAUGAAGGGUGCUUUCUCCUGGAUUCAGCGGCGGACGGGUGUGUAAUGCCUAGGAAUCUGCCUGGUAGUGGGGGAUAACGUCCGGAAACGGGCGCUAAUACCGCAUACGUCCUGUGGUAGAAAGUGGGGGUUCUUCGGACCUCUCGCUUUCUGAUGAGCCUAGGUCGGAUUAGCUAGUUGGUGGGGUAAAGGCCUACCAAGGCGACGAUCCGUAACUGGUCUGAGAGGAUGAUCAGUCAAACUGGAAGUGAGAAACGGAAAAGAAGAAGACGGGAGGAAGCAGUGGGGAAUAUUGGACAAUGGGCGAAAGCAUGAUAGAGGAAUGCCGAGUGUGUGAAGAAGGACUUAGGAUUGUAAAGAACUUUAAGUUGGGAGGAAGGGAAGUAAGUUAAUACCUUGAUGUAGUGACGUUAACAAAAGAAUAAGCAACGGCUAACUACGUG
RNAcentral lists this ribosomal RNA (484 nucleotides) under uncultured bacterium. RNAcentral's name for it is "partial 16S ribosomal RNA". It matches the Rfam family "Bacterial small subunit ribosomal RNA", at positions 30 to 507 of the family's 1533-position model. The record is from RNAcentral.